ACGGCUGCUCAGUAACACGUAGUCAACCUAACCUAUGGACGGGAAUAACCUCGGGAAACUGAGAAUAAUGCCCGAUAGAACACUAUACCUGGAAUGGUUUGUGUUCCAAAUGAUUUAUCGCCGUAGGAUGGGACUGCGGCCUAUCAGUUUGUUGGUGAGGUAAUGGCCCACCAAGACUAUUACAGGUACGGGCUCUGAGAGGAGUAGCCCGGAGAUGGGUACUGAGACACGGACCCAGGCCCUAUGGGGCGCAGCAGGCGAGAAAACUUUGCAAUGUGCGAAAGCACGACAAGGCUAAUCCGAGUGGUUUCCGCUAAAGGAACCUUUUGUUAGUCCUAGAAACACUAACGAAUAAGGGGUGGGCAAGUUCUGGUGUCAGCCGCCGCGGUAAAACCAGCACCUCAAGUGGUCAGGAUGAUUAUUGGGCCUAAAGCAUCCGUAGCCGGCUCUGUAAGUUUUCGGUUAAACCUGUACGCUCAACGUACAGGCUGCCGGGAAUACUGCAGAGCUAGGGAGUGGGAGAGGUAGACGGUACUCGGGAGGAAGUGGUAAAAUGCUUUGAUCUCUCGAUGACCACCUGUGGCGAAGGCGGUCUACCAGAACACGUCCGACGGUGAGGGAUGAAAGCUGGGGGAGCAAACCGGAUUAGAUACCCGGGUAGUCCCAGCUGUAAACUAUGCAAACUCAGUGAUGCAUUGGCUUGUGGCCAAUGCAGUAUUGCAGGGAAGCCGUUAAGUUUGCCGCCUGGGAAGUACGUACGCAAGUAUGAAACUUAAAGGAAUUGGCGGGGGAGCAG
This 796-nucleotide ribosomal RNA is filed under the name uncultured marine thaumarchaeote. Its description in RNAcentral is "bacterial SSU rRNA". It matches the Rfam family "Archaeal small subunit ribosomal RNA", at positions 82 to 879 of the family's 1478-position model. The record is from RNAcentral. Lineage: Archaea; Thermoproteati; Nitrososphaerota.